Molecule: long non-coding RNA, 4350 nt
Organism: Zalophus californianus (California sea lion)
Lineage: Eukaryota; Metazoa; Chordata; Mammalia; Carnivora; Otariidae
Exons: 5
Source: RefSeq, a predicted model, not a curated record
CUUCUCCCGGACAGUCGCGUGCACUUGCACUCAGGCGCUGCCCGAAGUAGGUUUUCCCUUAAGGUUGCGGAUGUGCAGUCUGCGUGCUGCACACGUUUUCUCUGGGACCUCGUUUCGUCCUUCCAGCAGCCUUGUGAGGAAGCAUUGUGUCAUCCCUGGUGUUCGGAUGAGGAAACAGACUCAGAGUGAUUUGACCUUGACCCCACAACUACAAAAUGACAGCUGGGAUCUUGAACUGGGGACCCGGAUGCCACAUGGUCUUUUCCCUUCAGUAAAUGCGUGCUUUCCUUGUCCUGUCAGGUUAAACAAGGCCCCUGGACGUCCGGGGUGAAUUCUUACCGUGCAGCUAGUAGCAGUGGUCCUCAUGGCCUGAGUGUGGUGCUGGAGGAAGACGCAGUGUGGUGGCCAAGAAGUCCCUGGGUGGUGGCAAAGUCUUGUUUUUGGAGGGGCGCACCACGAUCCCCAAAAUCAACCCAACAAGCUAAGCUGUACCUCCUCUGGGGAGACGAUUUGCCUGAGAUAACUCCGUUGUGAGUGGAAAAGACAAGGACGCAUUGUUCAGUGGACGAUGCCAGAAGGAAUAUGCAAAAUGGGCUCAACCUCUUCAUUCCGAGAGAAGAACACGUUUCUGCUGACUGGUCUCUUCAAGAGACCACACGUGGGCCUUCGGUGCUUGUUGGCACAGCAAGACUUCUCCAGUCCAUUGACUCCCAUCUUUCCCAGAGAGCUAUGGGUGAAGCCAGCACCGCCAGAGUGAAAAGGGAUUCUGAGUGAUAGAAUGCUUAGGAUUCUGAUGGGUGCACCUGUCACAUUGGAGAGCAAGAUUUCAGAGGCAGAGGGAUUCAGGGGAAGUCCAGGCCCUGGCACCGUCAUGGGAGAGGGUGACUGAACCUCACUGGAAUACAGGAGUUAAGGCAGAGAGUGGCUGGGAGACAAAGGAGGCACCUGUGGGAAUGUGGAACCCCUCCCUCAUGGUGACAGACUCUGGUGGUGGCAGCAGUGCCACCUGCCCAGUGAUGCCUGGUGACCCAAGGAGCCAGUGGUUUAGACCAUCCUGGAGAUAAGAGGCGCAAAUGGAGAAGUAGGCCAUGAGAGGCCCAAUCAUCAUGAAAAUUAUUUGGGUGACACAUGGGCAGAGUGUCUACCUGCGGUUGCUGCCUUUCCUGUCCCAAGACGCAGAGACACAGGUAAACCUCAGAUGCCAACCUCUCUGGUGUUGACAGCGCAUUCCAGGUCUUUCUCGGAAAACAGCCCCUUCUGUCUCAAAAGGGUCCACAGAUGGGGCAAGCUGAGGACAUCUUCCCAAGCCAUAGAAAGCAACACCCAGCCCCGGGAGCCGUUGGACCUGCAGGGCUAUAUUUCACUCUUGGAUGGCAGUCAGCAGAUUCUUAAACUCACUCCCUAGCUCCUACCCUGGGGCUGCUAUUCUGCUACUAUUCAAGGCUCAAAUGCCACCUCAUGCUGCUGGUCCCAACUGGGGACUCUGAGCCCCUCAGAGGCAUCUCUCAAAUAAAACCCAACACCACACUUCCGCACACUCAUUGUGUGGAGUGGUCUCACUCCACUGGGCUCUAUCGAAGCUGCAAAUUCCAGAUUUCUCUCUCUUGUGUUUUUGAACCUGUUUGCUUUUGAUUAUGGUUUGGUUUUGAAAGGGAAGAGUCACACACGAUCCAGCUCCCUGUUUCCUUUCUCAGAUGGAGUAAUAAAGCUUAUUUAUAGUGGAACUGUUUUUUUUUCCAUUAUGGCAUAUUUAAUUUUAUUACUCUACUGCCUUGUGCUUUGAAUUACAUAGGGGAAGCAACGCGUAACAGAAUAUUCCGUUGGUUUUCUUUUUUUCCCCUCGGGUAGUUGAUUGUGGAAAAAAAGGAUGUAGCAUCCUAUUAGUCAUUCUGUACCAUGAUGAUUUUUUUGCCUGUGACCAACAAAAUUACAUUUUACACUCGAAUGAACUCUCCAAAUGGACCCUUCUCUUCAACAUAUGUGGACAUAAGAUUCAAAGUAUGGCCAACCCCAUGCAUCACAUCCAAAGUCCAUUUCAGCUGUGGUUGAUGGUUCUCUCCAGGAAUGCAAUAUGCUGCAAAGCACCAUGGUUUGGGCUUCUGAUGAGAAGUUUAAGCAUGCUAUUUAUUUUGUUCUUCUGUCUUUCUAUUCAAACCAUUUGAAAAGAUCACUGAACUCUAGGUAAUUUGGGACAGCCUUUGGUUAGUCACCUUGGCUCCUUAGCUUAUUUCUCCAUCACUCUGGUGGUCUUUGCUUUCUUAGGCUUGGAAAAAGGACAAGGAAAAUCUCUCUCUUUGGAACCAAGGAGGUUCCUUAAUUGCUCAAAUGGGCUUGCAACAGAUAUGGUUGUAUUUCACGUGAAGCUUUUUCACGUGUUCUAAAGUCUUAGGUUUGAAUCCAUGUUUCGUACCAUUUUUGACCAUGUUUUCUGACUAUGUUUUCUAUCAUGUCGGACCAACUAGGUACUUCAGUGAGAUGCUUCUACCUUUCGUUCGUUUCUAGGAGAGAACAUGGAAUCAGAGGGGAAGGUGUUUGCCAUACUCGAAAUCCCCACAAAUUAGGAGAAAGACUGAUCGAACCCUAUUGUUCUGUCUCAACUUCUACAAAUGAAAGGAAAGUGGAUUUUUAGCAACUUGUGAUGCUCUCCAAUAAAGAGUUGGCAAUGCUGAAUAUCCCAGUUUUCUGUGCUCAGUGGUCCCUCAGUUGCUUUGGAAAGCAUCCUACUAAUAUGGAGAAAUCAGAACCUUGGUAUACUGCUGAUAAGAAUGUAAAAUGGUGCAUCUGUUUUGGAAAACAGUCUGUCAGUUCCUCAAAAAGUUAGACAUAGAGUUACCAUGUGACCCAGCAAUCCUACCCCUAUAUAGGUAUAUAAAUCCAAGAAAACUGAAAAACGUUUGUCCACACAAAACUGAUACAUGAAAGGUCCAUAGUAACAUUAUUCAUAAUAGUCAAAAUGUAGAAACAACCAAAACGUCUAUCAACCAGUGACUGGAAAAUUAACAUGAUUAUAUCCAUACAGUGGAAUAUUAUUUGGUGGUAUAGAGGAAUUCUAGCAAGAUAUUUAAACCAAAAAUAAAAAUAAAUCAUUAGGGCAAUUUUUUACUUCGAAUCAAGGAAGGAUUUAUAGCUAAACAUAAUAAUAAUAAUAAUGCUUAUUUGUUUAUUAUAGUUACUAAUCUGCAUAUCUCAUUUGAUUCUCAUGAUAACCUCCAAAAAUAGUUUUUAUCAUUCCCAUUUUCAGACAAGGAAACUGAGGCUCAAAGAAAUGUGAUACUUUCUGAAGUCUCCCAGUCGUUCUGUGUGCCAAGCCUGGCCUUCUUACAGGUUCUGAAAUGUAUGAUGCCCUUGACCUCAGGCUGGCAGAGUAAGUUGGGGUUAGGGGUGGAAAGAACCCAUUGCAGUGUGGUUUUCGUGUGUUCCAACACAUAUUUCUUCAGGUGAAGAAGCAGACUGCGUAGACACAUGCAGUUCUCCAUAGUUCUUCAUAGUACACUUCUAGUCGGCAAUCGGAGAAAAGAUUCAAUAGUUUUGCACCUGCACCCCAGUAAUAAAUGGGGGGACAACCCUGAAUUCAUGGAUAAGAGGAAACUUUGUAAUACAUUAGUUCAGUCUUUCCAGUUACGCAUGGGUCAUUCUUCUCCCAUCCGUGGCUUGGUCUGGGUCAGAAGCUAGCUUCUUGGGUCCACGGAUGGAGUUCUUCUAGUCCGUUUUCAGGAGCCAAGUGGCUCCUGGUAGGGCCUGGGUUCAUGCCAGUGGCUCCUUCCAGCCACCAGCCUCCCCCGGCACAGCAGCCUGAGUUCCUCUGCCUGUACGGACCCCAGUCGUGGCCCCGAUGUCUCUCGCCUGUUUGAAGGGUUUGUUCCUGUUGGACUCUGCCAGGCUUUGUACCGUUCCUGACACUUUAGCAGUAGCUUGAGUGUUUUGUGUCACCUCUUUUUCUUCGGGCCUGUUUGCUUUUGAGCUCAGCUGUGUAACAAAAUUCUGUUGUUGUAUUUUAUUCAAUAUUUCCGUUCGUUCGGAGCAGGACAUCUUUCCUCAUCAGCUCAGUCUUCCACGUUGACCAGAAUGUCUACAUUUUUACUGUUUCUUUUGUGGCCUAAUUGUUAUGGACUGAAUGUUUGCAUCCCCCCAGAUGCAGAUGUUGAAGCCUCAUCCCCAAGGUGGGGGUGUGAGGAGGCGGGGCUUUGGUGGGGGGGUCAGGGUGGAGCCCUCUCCUAAUCUCCUUCACCCUAUUGAAAGCUAUAUACACAAUGGAAUAUGACUCAGCCAUCGGGAAGGAUGAACACCCAACUUUCGCAUCCACAUGGAUGGGACUGGCGGAGAUGAUGCCAAGUGAAAGAAGUCAAGCAG